RNAcentral lists this ribosomal RNA (483 nucleotides) under uncultured bacterium. RNAcentral describes it as "partial 16S ribosomal RNA". It matches the Rfam family "Bacterial small subunit ribosomal RNA", at positions 899 to 1397 of the family's 1533-position model. The record is from RNAcentral.
ACUCAAAUGAAUUGACGGGGGAGCGCACAACCGGUGGAGCAUGUUGUUUAAUUCGAUACAAAGCGAAAAACCUUACCCAGAUUUGACAUGUAACUGCACGGCUAUGGAAACAUAGCCUUCUUCGAGAGUGUUACACAGGUGAUGCAUGGCUGUCGUCAGCUCGUGUCGUGAGACGUCCGCUUAAGUGCGGUAACGAGCGCAACCCUUAUCUCGUGUUGUAUUUCACGAGAGACUGCUCUGGCUCUGCCAGGGAGGAAGGAGAGGACGACGUCAAGUCAGCACGUCCCUUACAUCUGGGGCCACAAACAUCCUACAAUGGAGCCGACAAUGGGUCGCGACGGCGUAAGCCUGAGCCAAUCCUGAAAACGGCCCCUCAGUUCAGAUUGAGGGCUGCAAUCCGCCCUCAUGAAGUCGGAAUCGGUAGUAAUCGCAAAUCAGCAGGUUGCGGUGAAUACGUUCUCGCUCCUUGUACACACCGCCCGU